GGCCAGACUCCUACGGGAGGCAGCAGUCGGGAAUAUUGCGCAAUGGAGGAAACUCUGACGCAGUGACGCCGCGUAUAGGAAGAAGGUUUUCGGAUUGUAAACUAUUGUCCACAGGGAAGAUAAAAGACUGUACCUGUGAAGAAAGCUCCGGCUAACUACGUGCCAGCAGCCGCGGUAAUACGUAGGGAGCAAGCGUUAUCCGGAUUUACUGGGUGUAAAGGGAGCGUAGACGGCAAUGCAAGUCUGGAGUGAAAGCCCAAGGCCCAACCAUGGGACUGCUCUGGAAACUGUGUAGCUUGAGUGCAGGAGGGGUAAGCGGAAUUCCUAGUGUAGCGGUGAAAUGCGUAGAUAUUAGGAGGAACACCGGUGGCGAAGGCGGCUUACUGGACUGCAACUGACGUUGAGGCUCGAAGGCGUGGGGAGCAAACAGGAUUAGAUACCCCCGUACA
RNAcentral lists this ribosomal RNA (449 nucleotides) under uncultured bacterium. RNAcentral's name for it is "partial 16S ribosomal RNA". It matches the Rfam family "Bacterial small subunit ribosomal RNA", at positions 329 to 794 of the family's 1533-position model. The record is from RNAcentral.